Long non-coding RNA from Empidonax traillii (willow flycatcher), 1040 nucleotides. RefSeq lists it as uncharacterized. Lineage: Eukaryota; Metazoa; Chordata; Aves; Passeriformes; Tyrannidae. The record is from RefSeq and is a predicted model, not a curated record. The transcript is spliced from 3 exons.
CCUUCUGUUCCCAGCUUUCACACCUAACAGGCUGUCCCACUCUUAAAAUGGCCCAGACCUUUGUUCCUCUUCUGUUCACGGCAAGAGAAGAGCACAACUACCUCUGCAACAUUCAGGAAGAGAAUGGAUUAAACAAGCUUUUCCAGUUUUCAGGAGAUUUUUACACACUGUCAUCCACAGAACUCCAAGAAGCAGUCACUGAAAAUAACACUGCCACUGAGAAUUCACCAUGUUGUCAAUAUUUACUGUCAUUACCUAAUGAUCCAUUCAUAUGAUGUGAAUCCAUUCCACCCAGUCCACUCAUUGGCCCAUCUGACCCUGGUCCCAGGGGAAACUACAAAAGCAGCAAACAUUAAACACUGUACAAAUAUUUUUUAGAUAACCUAAUAAAGGGAAAAUGUUUCUCAAGAGGAAUAAAAAAACACAGUAAAGGAAAAAUUCACAGUCUCAACUCUGAAUGGGAAGGGAGUCUCAAGUUCCAUUCAGACCUUUAAGAGAAGGUCUUUCCUGUGAAGCCAGAAAACCAUCAUUGCUUUUGGUCACUUUAAUGAUUUUUGGAGACUGUCAUCUCUGUAGGCUGGUCUAUAACUUAGGAAUAAUUUAUUAUUUAGUUCAACACUAUGUGUACAACUUUCCAACUUGCUGGUGCUGACCCAACCCUACUCCCAUUGAAGUUACAGGGAACUUUAUUACUCCCUUGAAUUAUUAAUUCAAGUCAUUAAUUAACAGCUUUCAAACCCUGACUGCUCCACAUUACCUUUGUAACUUGAGCGGUUGCUGUCCAAUUUCAGAUAUUAACCUUAAAUUUAGCUCUUCACAAAAUUAAAGAUAUUAAUAUUAUGCCAAAACAAUCUACAAUUUACUGCAUAAUGAUUUAUCAGUAUUUAUAGAAAAUUAUUUUAAGCUCAACUGGUGAUUCUUCCCAAAAGGUCCACAACUGAAGGCCCACCCAUAAAAAUGGAACACUUAGCAAUAAUGACACCUGAUGGAAAUGCAAUGUUUGUAUAAACAAAGGGCUGCAUAAUUCAAAGAAACAUACA